This is a long non-coding RNA of Pistacia vera, 616 nucleotides long. RefSeq lists it as uncharacterized. The record is from RefSeq and is a predicted model, not a curated record. The transcript has 3 exons. Lineage: Eukaryota; Viridiplantae; Streptophyta; Magnoliopsida; Sapindales; Anacardiaceae.
CUCUGCUGUUGAACCAAACUUUUCUUCUCGAUUUGGUUCAUCCCGAUAGCACUCUGAUCUUGCUUUUCCAGUAAGUUCGUCCCCAUCGUUUUUGUGUUAUAUUCGUGUGUUGGUUUUUUUGCAACCAUAACACUAACCAAGGAAACUUCGUCAGUUGUUUUCCUCCAUCUACGUCGUUGGAAGGUCUCUUCUUCGUGUUGAUCUCCUUCGUCCCGACAACACUUCGAUCUCACUUUUCCGCCUUUUCCUCUAUCUCCACCGCCAGAAAAUCUCUUCUUCGUGUCGAUCUCGUUAGUCCCGACAGCACUCCAAUCUCGAUUUUCCUGCUGACGUGGAGUCUUGUUAGCGUGGGUGGUCAGAACUUGAGAAGGUUCUACGACUGUUCAGACGGGGCCACGUCGCAUAAUGAUACAUGUGGCAUGCCACUGUCAGUGCAAUGGGUGAGUGCCAGGUUAGCGAAUGGUUGGAAAUCGUCCAUGUGUCUAAUCUCUGCAAAAGUCGAGGAAAUUAUUUGGGUAGGUGAGCAAUGGGACAUAGAGAAUGAUUUGCAUGGUACCUACCCACUUGCAGAUUUAGUAAUCAUUACCUUAGUUUAUCCCACUAUAAAUAGAGGUAU